UACGUAGGGUGCGAGCGUUAAUCGGAAUUACUGGGCGUAAAGCGUGCGCAGGCGGUUCGUUGUGUCGGUGGUGAAAUCCCCGGGCUUAACCUGGGAAUGGCCAUGGAAACUGGCGAGCUGGAGUGCGGCAGAGGGGGGUGGAAUUCCGCGUGUAGCAGUGAAAUGCGUAGAGAUCGGGAGGAACACCUGUGGCGAAGGCGGCCCCCUGGGCCGGCCCUGACGCUGAGACGCGAAGGCGUGGGGAGCGAACGGG
Molecule: ribosomal RNA, 253 nt
Filed under: uncultured bacterium
Lineage: Bacteria
Description: partial 16S ribosomal RNA
Rfam family: Bacterial small subunit ribosomal RNA
Source: RNAcentral